AUUGAACGCUGGCGGCAUGCCUUACACAUGCAAGUCGAACGGCAGCACGGGAGCAAUCCUGGUGGCGAGUGGCGAACGGGUGAGUAAUAUAUCGGAACGUGCCCAGUCGUGGGGGAUAACGUAGCGAAAGCUACGCUAAUACCGCAUACGAUCUACGGAUGAAAGCGGGGGAUCGCAAGACCUCGCGCGAUUGGAGCGGCCGAUAUCAGAUUAGGUAGUUGGUGAGGUAAAGGGCUCACCAAGCCGACGAUCUGUAGCUGGUCUGAGAGGACGACCAGCCACACUGGGACUGAGACACGGCCCAGACUCCUACGGGAGCAGCAGUGGGGAAUUUUGGACAAUGGGCGCAAGCCUGAUCCAGCAAUGCCGCGUGCAGGAUGAAGGCCUCGGUGUAACUGCUUUGUACGGU
This 409-nucleotide ribosomal RNA is filed under the name uncultured bacterium. Its description in RNAcentral is "bacterial SSU rRNA". It matches the Rfam family "Bacterial small subunit ribosomal RNA", at positions 30 to 443 of the family's 1533-position model. The record is from RNAcentral.